ACAAGCCAUGCAUGCCUGCACACCCGGGAGGCGGCGGACGGCUCAGGACAACGGUUGCACCCCCCGCGGCGGUCCCUGCUAGCCGGACACCGCUGGCAACCCGGCGCCAAGACGUGCGCGCAAGUGCGGGCGCCCGCGGG
RNAcentral lists this ribosomal RNA (140 nucleotides) under Giardia duodenalis. Its description in RNAcentral is "Giardia intestinalis partial small subunit ribosomal RNA". Lineage: Eukaryota; Fornicata; Diplomonadida; Hexamitidae. The record is from RNAcentral.